RNAcentral lists this ribosomal RNA (397 nucleotides) under unidentified microorganism. RNAcentral's name for it is "bacterial SSU rRNA". It matches the Rfam family "Bacterial small subunit ribosomal RNA", at positions 1100 to 1502 of the family's 1533-position model. The record is from RNAcentral.
AACCCCUAUUGUCAGUUGCUACGAAAGAGCACUCUAGCGAGACUGCCGUUGACAAAACGGAGGAAGGCGGGGACGACGUCAAAUCAUCAUGCACCUUAUGUCCUGGGCUACACACGUAAUACAAUGGUGGCGAACAGAGGGAAGCAAAGCCGCGAGGUAGAGCAAAACCCUAAAAGCCAUCUCAGUUCGGAUUGCAUGCUGCAACUCGCCUGCAUGAAGCUGGAAUUGCUAGUAAUCGCGGAUCAGAAAGCCGCGGUGAAUACGUUCCCGGGCCUUGUACACACCGCCCGUCACACCAUGAGAGUCGGGAACACCCGAAGUCCGUAGUCUAACCUGCAAAGGAGGGCGCGGCCGAAGUGGGUCCGGUAAUUGGGGUGAAGUCGUAACAAGGUAGCCC